CCAGACUCCUACGGGAGGCAGCAGUGGGGAAUAUUGCACAAUGGGGGAAACCCUGAUGCAGCGACGCCGCGUGAGCGAUGAAGUAUUUCGGUAUGUAAAGCUCUAUCAGCAGGGAAGAAAAUGACGGUACCUGACUAAGAAGCCCCGGCUAACUACGUGCCAGCAGCCGCGGUAAUACGUAGGGGGCAAGCGUUAUCCGGAUUUACUGGGUGUAAAGGGAGCGUAGACGGCUGUGCAAGCCAGAUGUGAAAGCCCGGGGCUCAACCCCGGGACUGCAUUUGGAACUGUGUAACUGGAGUACAGGAGGGGCAGGCGGAAUUCCUGGUGUAGCGGUGAAAUGCGUAGAUAUCAGGAGGAACACCGGCGGCGAAGGCGGCCUGCUGGACUGAAACUGACGUUGAGGCUCGAAAGCGUGGGGAGCAAACAGGAUUAGAUACCCCAGUA
This 444-nucleotide ribosomal RNA is filed under the name uncultured bacterium. RNAcentral describes it as "bacterial SSU rRNA". It matches the Rfam family "Bacterial small subunit ribosomal RNA", at positions 331 to 792 of the family's 1533-position model. The record is from RNAcentral.